Molecule: long non-coding RNA, 2668 nt
Organism: Lepisosteus oculatus (spotted gar)
Lineage: Eukaryota; Metazoa; Chordata; Actinopteri; Semionotiformes; Lepisosteidae
Source: RefSeq, a predicted model, not a curated record
GGGUGUCCCAUCAGCCCCCUGGCGCAGGGUGCUGAUCUGUAGAUAAAAGAGUCUCGUCAGCGGCAGGCAGAGCUCGGCGUGCCCCCGCAGCAAAGCGUGCAGCUCCUCUUGGCCUGCACCCCCCCCAGCUCCUCGAAGGCUGUGGGACUCCGGGGAGUUACGGUGGCUGCCUGACCCAGGACCCGAAUUGUUGGGUUUCUUCCAAAGGUUUCCUGAAUGAGAGGAGGUGUGCUACCCUGCACAUUGUGUUCGCUAGAUUAUAUAUACAACAGCAACCUGCUGUAUUCUCCACCACAGUUAUUCCCUUGAAGGCAAAAGCAAAAAAAAACUCUCCCUUGCUCUCUUUCUGUGCUGUGGGAAGCCCAGGCUGUGUCCCACCUUGAGGCUGAAUGGCAGCAGAAAGAAUAAAAAUUAGUCAUUCAUUUUAUAGGCACCCUAAGCAGAGUUUGUGGCAUGAGGGACAUGAAAUGCAAGUGAACUGUGAGUUAACUAAGCAUGCAUGUGAUGUUUACAGAUGUCAGUGAUGUUACUACUGUUUUCUUUUGUUAUUAUCACUGCUUUAGUCUCGUGUUUUAAAAAUGUGAGGGCUGUUAUGGUUAAAAUGCUGCCACUGUUUGCUUAUCGUAAUGUAAAUCUAUCUGAAUUGCCAUAGCUGGGAGCAAGUGCAGGGAAGGAGCCAGACACACUGAAAACCUGGCUUCCUCACUGCUGGCCACUACCUUGAGUGCUGGAAACCUGUGGGAUGCUGAGGCUCUGGGUGUAGGACAACCGUAUGGAUGAGCCCAGGAAAAAAGGGUGCGAGUUUCGCUUGCGCAGCAAGGAGACCUGAGUUGCUCAGGGAGAUUGAGGGAGGGCAGAUGCCACUCACCCACUCUACCCCACUCUUACCCACUCGCCCACUGAGCCGACGCACUGCAGGCACCACAGUGCACAGCGGGAGGGCUGGUUAUGACUGGAGGAGUGGCGCGUCUCUCGCUGAUGCCUGCAGAAGCCCAGGAUGUCGCCAAACUUGGAGUUUGCUCUGUCGUUUCACAGCCACUAGCCUGUGUGAAGACUUGUAAAUGUGUACUUUUGUGAAGGAAACUGCAACAAAAACAUCAAAUAGUCAUAUCGUAUUCCUCUCGUUUGUGUUGCUUUUCAGGAGCAUUGUAAGUGUUAUAUCUUCAAGUACUGACACAACUCUAGAAUAUACAGUACAUAUAUAUGAAGCUGGAGUAAAGCUGGAAAAACUGUCAAAAUAGUUCACAUAGCUAUGGUGCGUUCACAACUGAAGAACCAGUGAUUUAGUGUCUGAAAUUCUGAAUGAAACUACGCCUUUCUGCCAGAGCAGGGUGAUGGAGUACCUCAGAGGAAGAAUAGUGCUUUGCCCCGCUGGCUUGUGAAAUGUGUGAUUACAGUUUGUUAUGUUUACCCUUAGAUGAACCAAAGCCACUCACCCAGCGGCACGCUUGGAGUGAGACACAGGGUGGGAAGAAAGCAGGUGUUCCAACUGCUUCUCCAGCUGGGAGACUGGAGUCAUGUUAGAUCCAGGAGCCUUGCUGUUUAGUUAUUUCUAUUGCUGGAUUUGAACCCGGACAGUAAAAGGAGACCGUUCAUGAAUGCUGGUUGACUCCUAAUAGAUUUUCUUAUGUGCAACAUGUCACUGUUUCCCCCCACGCUAUUGUAAUUUAUCUAUUAUCAGUUGUUCAAGUUGUCAUGGGUCACAAGCAUGUAGGCUUUCCCGACAACCAUCUCCAACUCUCACUGUGUUUAUGCAGGAUGGGUCUGUCCUGAUAUCAGAUAUCAGAUUAAACCUAAGAUUUUUACAGAUGAGUCUUUAGUUCAUCAAGGAAGAACAACAGAUACGGAUAAAAACAGUGACAUUUCCAUCUUAUUAGUCCCUAAAUCUUUUUCAAGGAAACAGAGUAAUGUGUUUAUUGAAACUUGGGCUUAGGUUUAAUCGCAUUGUGCUUUGUUUUGCAUUCACUAUUCUUGGAAGACGAGGGAAACACUGCUUCUUUCAUCACACAAUCAGCUUUUGCGUUUCUUGGUAAUGUAAAAUAUGACUGAUAUAAAACGUGCUACUAAGCUUGGCUAGUUCUCAGGCCCACAGACUUGUUUAUUUAUGACAUGAUUUGAAGUGCUGACAGCUAGCAAGUCUUGCAUUUGCUGUGGCAGUACAGCAAUACUAAGAUUGAAGAUCGGUUUUUGCAAUGUGGCUGCCUAGUUCUUUCUGAACGUUUUGUUAUUGAGGUGCUGUUAGUUUGAUGUUAAUUCAUAGGGAGGUGUUUUGAAUAUAUUUUGACUUAAUUUACUUUAUGUUUCAGGUAACUCAGAAUGUUUGCGUGAAAAGUUGUUCCAUUAACAAGUAAAGUGAAAUCGCAGAAAUUAGUAAUACAAUCACAGCAAGUCAGGGAAAUAAACUCCUCAGAUCAAACUUUAUCCCAAAACUAACAAGGAAAUGUAAGCUACAAGCUUUUGAUAGCCAACAAUGGAUCAUAACCUCUGACCAUGUUAAUGCAAUUGACAGGAAUGACCAAUCUCAUUAAAAUACAUAUAAAUAUAAAAGAUAGGUAUAAUUUCACACUAUGGGGUGGACAUAAGCAUAACAUACCAAGAUAUAAUUUACAAUAUAAUACUGAUACAUUUCAUCCACACAUAGAAGAUUGUCAGUUGGUAUAUCUUCAGU